This 504-nucleotide unclassified non-coding RNA is filed under the name Hevea brasiliensis (rubber tree). The record is from RNAcentral. Lineage: Eukaryota; Viridiplantae; Streptophyta; Magnoliopsida; Malpighiales; Euphorbiaceae.
UGUAUCAUGAAGUGCAUUCGACUUGAGAUUUUUAAUUUCAGUAACACUGUCAAACUCUACAUAUACAAUACAUAAGAUAUAAUAGCAACCACAACCUUGUGAAGGCUGUUGUCAAACUAUACUUCAACUUCUUUGCAUCCAAAGUCAUAGGGCACUAGUCCUUUCAAUUCAGGUCCAUUGAGUCUGUUGUGUGCAAAACCUUCCAUAGGAAAGCUUCCAAAGGGUCCAUCAGCAGGGAUUGUUCCACAAAGAUUGUUGUUAGAAACAUCAAAUACUUUAAGGUUGGGGAGUGUCGUAAGUUCCCUUGGAAUCGAACCAGUUAGUUUGUUGUCGUUUAACCGUAAAAAUCUAAGAGACUUUAGUUUAGCAAAAGACUGGGGAAUGUUGCCUUCAAAUUUGUUGCCAUAUAGGUCCAUGCUAAUAAGAUUUUCCAGAUCACCAAAUUCCUUUGGGAUUUCCCCUUCUAAGUUAUUACUAUAAAGUUCCAGAUACUGUAGAUUCUUG